This 72-nucleotide transfer RNA is filed under the name Phrynops hilarii (snake-necked turtle). RNAcentral describes it as "tRNA-Glu". It matches the Rfam family "tRNA". Rfam says of the family: Transfer RNA (tRNA) molecules are approximately 80 nucleotides in length. Lineage: Eukaryota; Metazoa; Chordata; Testudines; Chelidae. The record is from RNAcentral.
UUGUUUUUGUAGUUGAAUGACAACGAUGGUUUUUCAGACCGUUGGUCUUGGUUAAAAUCCGAGCUAGAAUAU